UAGGGAAUCUUCCGCAAUGGACGCAAGUCUGACGGAGCAACGCCGCGUGAGUGAAGAAGGAUUUCGGUUCGUAAAACUCUGUUGUUAGAGAAGAACAGCGCAUAGAGUAACUGUUAUGCGUGUGACGGUAUCUAAUCAGAAAGCCACGGCUAACUACGUGCCAGCAGCCGCGGUAAUACGUAGGUGGCAAGCGUUAUCCGGAAUUAUUGGGCGUAAAGCGCGCGUAGGCGGUUUUUUAAGUCUGAUGUGAAAGCCCACGGCUCAACCGUGGAGGGUCAUUGGAAACUGGAAAACUUGAGUGCAGAAGAGGAAAGUGGAAUUCCAUGUGUAGCGGUGAAAUGCGCAGAGAUAUGGAGGAACACCAGUGGCGAAGGCGACUUUCUGGUCUGUAACUGACGCUGAUGUGCGAAAGCGUGGGGAUCAAACAGG
Molecule: ribosomal RNA, 429 nt
Filed under: Bacteroidota bacterium
Lineage: Bacteria; Pseudomonadati; Bacteroidota
Description: Bacteroidetes bacterium partial 16S ribosomal RNA
Rfam family: Bacterial small subunit ribosomal RNA
Source: RNAcentral